This 498-nucleotide ribosomal RNA is filed under the name uncultured bacterium. RNAcentral describes it as "partial 16S ribosomal RNA". It matches the Rfam family "Bacterial small subunit ribosomal RNA", at positions 28 to 507 of the family's 1533-position model. The record is from RNAcentral.
GACGAACGCUGGCGGCGUGCCUAAUACAUGCAAGUCGAACGAGAGCGCCCGGUGCUUGCCCUGGUCAAUCUAGUGGCGAACGGGUGAGUAACACGUGGGUAACCUGCCCAUCAGAGGGGGAUAACAUCCGGAAACGGAUGCUAAAACCGCAUAGGUCUUCGAACCGCAUGGUUUGAAGAGGAAAAGAGGCGCAAGCUUCUGCUGAUGGAUGGACCCGCGGUGCAUUAGCUAGUUGGUGAGGUAACGGCUCACCAAGGCCGUGAUGCAUAGCCGACCUGAGAGGGUGAUCGGCCACAUUGGGACUGAGACACGGCCCAAACUCCUACGGGAGGCAGCAGUAGGGAAUCUUCCGCAAUGGACGCAAGUCUGACGGAGCAACGCCGCGUGAGUGAAGAAGGUUUUCGGAUCGUAAAACUCCGUUGUUAGAGAAGAACAAGUGCUAGAGUAACUGUUAGCGCCUUGACGGUAUCUAACCAGAAAGCCACGGCUAACUACGUG